GAUGAACGCUGGCGGCGUGCCUAAUACAUGCAAGUCGAGCGAACAGAUGAGGAGCUUGCUCCUCUGACGUUAGCGGCGGACGGGUGAGUAACACGUGGAUAACCUACCUAUAAGACUGGGAUAACUUCGGGAAACCGGAGCUAAUACCGGAUAAUAUAUUGAACCGCAUGGUUCAAUAGUGAAAGACGGUUUUGCUGUCACUUAUAGAUGGAUCCGCGCCGCAUUAGCUAGUUGGUAAGGUAACGGCUUACCAAGGCAACGAUGCGUAGCCGACCUGAGAGGGUGAUCGGCCACACUGGAACUGAGACACGGUCCAGACUCCUACGGUAGGCAGCAGUAGGGAAUCUUCCGCAAUGGGCGAAAGCCUGACGGAGCAACGCCGCGUGAGUGAUGAAGGUCUUCGGAUCGUAAAACUCUGUUAUUAGGGAAGAACAAAUGUGUAAGUAACUAUGCACGUCUUGACGGUACCUAAUCAGAAAGCCACGGCUAACUACGUG
Molecule: ribosomal RNA, 497 nt
Filed under: uncultured bacterium
Lineage: Bacteria
Description: partial 16S ribosomal RNA
Rfam family: Bacterial small subunit ribosomal RNA
Source: RNAcentral